CCUGCUUCAUCCUGUCCAUGUGUGAUGUCUGGAUCUGUCGCUCCUUUGGGGUUUCCUGUCCAGGUUUUGGCUGUAAACUUUAAGUGCAACAAUCUGAAUGUAGAUGGAAGAAACCGGACCAGCAAAAUGAAGACAACCAAUAAAUUAAAGUACAGUACCCAAAUACUUCUGAGGUAAACAGGCUCUCAGCAUUUUUAAUAUCUCUGCUUGCUGUAAGUGAAUAAAAACAUGUUUGUAUACAAGAGAAAGCAUCAGGGAAGUCUAAAUUUUAAGAACUCGACAUGGUAGGAGUAUAGACAAGAAGAGAUGAUCCGGCUCUUUCAGAGAAGAUUUUCCAUCCACAGACAAUUCCGGAGAUAUUACGCCCCGGAGCUCCUCCAGUCCUCGUCCCAUCACAUCAUAAAGUUGACUUAGAUCCAUAGACGGACACUUUGUCCAGAAGAAAAGACUCGAGUGGUGACAGUGAUGACCCAGAGCUGAUAAAGGUGCAUAUAUAUAUAUAUAUAUUAAAAUAUUUUAUGUAUGAAGCGCCGGGGCGAGAAACCUCCUCCUGCAAGAUUAUCAUUACUACGGAUGAAAACUGAGCUAAAAACACAAGGUUUAUAAAUCUGAUUCCUCGCCCUCAGGAGGCAGAACCAUCGCCCUCAUUUCAUUAAGAAAUCCGUCCAAACCGAAUGCAAUGUUCAGACAUGGAAUACAGAUGCAAGAUGUGUUAAAUAUGGCGCAUAAGGAGAUCUGGUAUAUCCGGUACAUACAACAUCCAAUCUCUACUGCGCAUUUUAAUCUAUAUACAAAUUUGUGUGAAAAACAAAAGUAUUCAACCCCCCUUUCCAGGUGUCAUUUAUUAUUGUAUUUGUCACUGAA
This is a long non-coding RNA of Hyla sarda, 864 nucleotides long. RefSeq lists it as uncharacterized. The record is from RefSeq and is a predicted model, not a curated record. NCBI's taxonomy places the organism in Eukaryota, Metazoa, Chordata, Amphibia, Anura, Hylidae. The transcript has 5 exons.